Molecule: non-coding RNA, 675 nt
Organism: Callorhinus ursinus (northern fur seal)
Lineage: Eukaryota; Metazoa; Chordata; Mammalia; Carnivora; Otariidae
Source: RefSeq, a predicted model, not a curated record
UCUAAAGUAGGGGAACUGCCAUUGCAAGCCUGAAUUCAUUCAUCCAAAGGACAGUGAAUGAGGACCAGCACAUCAGGAAGGCCUGCAUGAGUAACCAGCCCCAAUGCCCAUCCCAGGCUUCAAGAGUGGAAUUAGCUUUGAGCUCCUUAGAAGUCAGAUGGCUAGGAAAAUUCAGUAGUGUUGGAAUCUUCCAUUCCUUCUUUAAGGAUCCACGUCCUGGCUGCAAAUCACAACUGCUCUUCGCGAUGACCCCAAGCCUGCUCACAGUAAUGCCCUCAGUUGCAGGCACUUGGCAGUCUCUCCAGAUACCUGGCUUUCCCGCAAUCCUUCUUCCAUCCUCUGUUCUGAUCCCUCAGUCCCAGUAAAACCUGGUUUCUUCCCAACUGACUCCAAGCAUCCCAUCUCAUCCAGAGCUCCACUGGAUACAUCAGUGUCUUGAACUACACUCUGGCCCUUUGUCAGCCAAUGUACUUGAAGCGACUCUCAUUUUGGUUCUGUGAUUCUUCUUCACCUCACUCUUCACUCUGUCCAACCUCUUGUGCAUCAUCUGAAAUCCCUAAAGAGAUGGGACAUGGUCAAAGAAGAUGGGAACUGGGAGGUCCUUCGAGAUCUGCCAGUCCAAAGGCCAAGCAGAAACUGUAAAUGAGAAAGCUGAUUGGUUAUAAUAUAAAAGAG